UCAAUUCAUAGAGAAAAGAAGGAAAUGAAAGAAAAGAAAGUAAAAAAAAACAAAAAACAGGACA
Molecule: non-coding RNA, 64 nt
Filed under: Aurantiochytrium limacinum
Lineage: Eukaryota; Bigyra; Thraustochytrida; Thraustochytriidae
Source: RNAcentral